RNAcentral lists this ribosomal RNA (1068 nucleotides) under Triticum aestivum (bread wheat). Its description in RNAcentral is "partial small subunit ribosomal RNA". Lineage: Eukaryota; Viridiplantae; Streptophyta; Magnoliopsida; Poales; Poaceae. The record is from RNAcentral.
AGGGAUUUGAAAGAUCCCAAUACAUUUGUGGACUUUCUUGUGUCAACUUCAAAGCCCACAAUGCGGCUCUCUUCAAGCAUUUACUAUCCGAAGUAUCGUUUUGGCGCCUUUGGGACAUUAUUCCCUUUGAAUAUGGCAAACAGGGCAUGCCCAGAAGAUUAUGGUGUCAUGGGUUUAAGAUAUGGUUCAAAGAAUCUAUCGUUGUAUGCCAAUUACUUAUAAGAUAAGUAAUACAUGCGCCUGGUGAGGUACCCUAUGGUGCAUGGUUGGUUGGGAGAAAAGGGAAUUUAAGUGCAGGCGUACAAUACAAACCAAUAGGUUUGUGUUACUAAACGUUCACUGAUUAUCAGAGCGAUAUAUUCUACGCCGCGGAUUUUGAGGUGGAAGCAAGCAUCCUAUGCCUUUUACAGACUUGAAGAACUGGAAUUGUGCAAUCGGUUAUGGUGUAGGCUCAAGUAGCCCACUCAGCCCUUCAUUUAAUUUUGCACUAGAGCUUGUUAGAAGUUCGCAGCUGGUUGCAUCGUUCUAUCAACACCAUAUUUCUGCAAAGGUACUAGAUUAUCGGGGUGGAGAUGAAACUUUGAACUACAUUGAUCUUGGACUUGAGCUAGCCACAAGGGUGGAUAAAGACAAACCAACAGAUGAUGCUGGCAAUUCAUCGUUUCAGGGAAAGUUAGGCCCUUCGAAAUCUUCUGCAGCAUUGGCGUAUAAGUUUCCACCCUUCUUUACAUGUAGUAUCACAGAUACCAAACACUUAAUCGAGAGUGUACGGUCUUGAAACAACAUGAGAUAGACGUUGAUGGAAAGGAGCGCGUCCUCGAGUUUGACUUUGGUCCAGGCAACUAUGACAAUUUACCAACGGAGUUGAAACCUAUUGACAAAGUAUUGUAAUUGUAGGUUGUUACACUUAGUGUCUCAUCAUGGAGUCGGGAAGCCCCAUAAAACUAUCAGUUAUUAUGGGUAUUAGAUUAGUUGAUCAACUGCUUUGAUAAGGACAAAUCAUGUGUCUGUCAUUCAAGCGUGAAAUACAAUGGUACUGUAUGCAGUUAUCUGUCAAAUGUUCAAGAG